Molecule: long non-coding RNA, 304 nt
Filed under: Lathyrus oleraceus (garden pea)
Lineage: Eukaryota; Viridiplantae; Streptophyta; Magnoliopsida; Fabales; Fabaceae
Description: Pisum sativum (pea) long non-coding RNA (PSAT_LNC005901)
Source: RNAcentral
AUUCCAAGUGGUGUUCCAAAUCAUAUUCCAAUAAUCCAAAAUUACAAAUAAUCAAAAAGGCCAAUACAUAAUACAAGGGGUGGGGUUACACGUUUAACCCAAAUUCUCAUAGUCUAGGAUAUUCUAAACUCUUAAUGGACCAAAUAUUUACAUAAUUAUCUCAAUAAUUUUUUUUAAAUUAAAAUAUAUAACAUGCCCAAAAGUUCUGUUACAGCUAGGAAGUUGAAAAGUUGGAAAUAAGCUGUAAAAUACAACAGUUUGAAGCAACUCUUCAAAAGAUUUUUCCAAAAACUUCUUGAAAUUC